UACUCGAGUGGCGAACGGGUGAGUAACACGUGGGUGAUCUGCCCUGCACUUCGGGAUAAGCUUGGGAAACUGGGUCUAAUACCGGAUAGGAGCCAUCUUUAGUGUGGUGGUUGGAAAGUUUUUUCGGUGUAGGAUGAGCUCGCGGCCUAUCAGCUUGUUGGUGGGGUAAUGGCCUACCAAGGCGGCGACGGGUAGCCGGCCUGAGAGGGUGUACGGCCACAUUGGGACUGAGAUACGGCCCAGACUCCUACGGGAGGCAGCAGUGGGGAAUAUUGCACAAUGGGCGCAAGCCUGAUGCAGCGACGCCGCGUGGGGGAUGAAGGCCUUCGGGUUGUAAACUCCUUUCGCUAGGGACGAAGCUUUGUUGUGACGGUACCUAGAUAAGAAGCACCGGCUAACUACGUGCCAGCAGCCGCGGUAAUACGUAGGGUGCGAGCGUUGUCCGGAAUUACUGGGCGUAAAGGGCUCGUAGGUGGUUUGUCGCGUCGUCUGUGAAAUUCUGGGGCUUAACUCCGGGCGUGCAGGCGAUACGGGCAUAACUUGAGUGCUGUAGGGGUAACUGGGAUUCCUGGUGUAGCGGUGAAAUGCGCAGAUAUCAGGAGGAACACCGAUGGCGAAGGCAGGUUACUGGGCAGUUACUGACGCUGAGGAGCGAAAG
Molecule: ribosomal RNA, 658 nt
Filed under: uncultured Actinomycetales bacterium
Lineage: Bacteria; Bacillati; Actinomycetota; Actinomycetes; Actinomycetales
Description: bacterial SSU rRNA
Rfam family: Bacterial small subunit ribosomal RNA
Source: RNAcentral